GCCGUCGUAGCUCAGAUGGUAGAGCGACGCUCUCGUAAAGCGUAGGUCACGGGUUCGAUUCCCGUCGACGGCUCCA
Molecule: transfer RNA, 76 nt
Filed under: Cutibacterium avidum
Lineage: Bacteria; Bacillati; Actinomycetota; Actinomycetes; Propionibacteriales; Propionibacteriaceae
Also listed under: 7 other names
Description: tRNA-Thr
Rfam family: tRNA
About the family: Transfer RNA (tRNA) molecules are approximately 80 nucleotides in length. Their secondary structure includes four short double-helical elements and three loops (D, anti-codon, and T loops). Further hydrogen bonds mediate the characteristic L-shaped molecular structure. tRNAs have two regions of fundamental functional importance: the anti-codon, which is responsible for specific mRNA codon recognition, and the 3' end, to which the tRNAs corresponding amino acid is attached (by aminoacyl-tRNA synthetases). tRNAs cope with the degeneracy of the genetic code in two manners: having more than one tRNA (with a specific anti-codon) for a particular amino acid; and 'wobble' base-pairing, i.e. permitting non-standard base-pairing at the 3rd anti-codon position.
Source: RNAcentral